Brienomyrus brachyistius is the source of this 936-nucleotide long non-coding RNA. RefSeq lists it as uncharacterized. Lineage: Eukaryota; Metazoa; Chordata; Actinopteri; Osteoglossiformes; Mormyridae. The record is from RefSeq and is a predicted model, not a curated record. The transcript has 2 exons.
CCUGACCAGGGCAAAGCUGUGAGAGAAAAUAUCCUGCAGCGUUUCCAGGGGUGCUAAAUGGAGACCAAACACCUCACCUCUCAUGUACAUCACCGUCCACACGCACGCACACACACACACGCGCACACACAUACACGCACGCGCACACACACACACGCACGCUCACACACACACACUCUUUAGCCUGCUGCUAUUUAGACUACUGCUCCCUGUGUUCUGGACAAAUGCUACGAGGGCAUGUGUGACUCUGUGGGUUUGGUCUCUGAGCCUGAUAAUGUAGAGCUGCCAGUUCUACUCUCAGAGUCGGCAGAGUGAUGUCACCCCUGAGCCCUUCACCUCAGUCUCUCCAGGCUGACCCUGCUUCUUAAAUUAUGCAUCGCUUUCGAUAAAAAAUAAUGCAAUAUCAUUUCAUUGUUUUUUCCCCAGCUAACAACUUUUCAUUAUAGGAAUGUCUACUGAAUAUUUCGCACAUUCAGAGUGUUGAGUUUCCCUGAUGUUCCCAGAAUGUUAUUCCGCUACCACUCAUACUAAGAGUAAUGAUAAUAUUGAGCUGCAUGGUAGCGUAGCUGCAUGGUAGCGUAGCUGCAUGGUAGCGUAACAGUAGCACUGUGGCUCGACACCUCUGAGGUCACGGGUCCAAGGCUGUAUGGUAUGUUGGCAGUAUGCACAUAUAGUGCUAUUAUAAAAUUGUAUUUUUAUCAUCAAACAAUAUUUUUCAACAUUAAUUAUGUUUAAAGAUUAUUCAGGCAAUAAUGUUGUCAUGCUAACACCAACGAGACCUUUGUUAAAAUGUAAAAUGUGGGAAUAGCACUCCAUUACAGUAAGAAUGUUCUCUGUCAACUUUGAGAAGAUCUUUAUGUAACGUUCACUGAUAGCUGGGUUUCUAUUGAAAUGUUCUUUUAAAUUUAGACCACUAAAAUGCUUGUAAUUUCACAA